GGUUGAGUUCUGAAGGGCAGAGGCCUGUGGUAAACUAUGCCAUUGUGUUGACUAUGAAUCCUCAAGGAGAUUGAUAAAUGAUCACAGUGUAUGAUUGUAUGAAAGUCUGCAUCUUUGCAUUUGCUUGGCACAGACCGAGUGCUUGCACAUGGGUACUGGGUCAGAUGUGUUGUCUUUCCAGUCUUCCUUCCUGGGAUUCCAGAAGAAUAGUCCUUGCAUCCUUUCUCACUGCUGUAGAGAUCUGAAUGAAGGCCGACGCUGCGCUUCCUAGGGACGGGGAGUUCUAAUUCCUCUCACCUCACCUGCAUUAUCAGGGCAUAUGCUCUUCCACAUCUGACUUUAACCAAACUUGAGUAAGAACUCCCUGACUUGGAAACACUCAAGUUUCCCACACAUGACUGGAUGGCCCUGGCCACACUGGGAACGGAAUGGGGGCCUCCCAUUGGAACUCAGGGUGGAGGGGGAAGCUCGACCAGCUAUUGUGGCCCCCACUUCCAUUGACAAAAAAGAAAACCUGCAGAUUCCAUUGAUCUGGCAUGGAGCUGGAUGUCUUUCAGGAUGAAGAGUUUUCAUUAAAACACAGCCACAACAAAGCAAGAAAAAAGAGCAAUUGAUGUAAGCAUGCCAGUCAGGUUCACAUGUUAAGAAACAGAAUAA
This 657-nucleotide long non-coding RNA is filed under the name Homo sapiens (human). Its description in RNAcentral is "HSALNT0089716". Lineage: Eukaryota; Metazoa; Chordata; Mammalia; Primates; Hominidae. The record is from RNAcentral.